This 76-nucleotide transfer RNA is filed under the name Deltaproteobacteria bacterium. Its description in RNAcentral is "tRNA-Asn". It matches the Rfam family "tRNA". From Rfam's summary of the family: Transfer RNA (tRNA) molecules are approximately 80 nucleotides in length. Their secondary structure includes four short double-helical elements and three loops (D, anti-codon, and T loops). The record is from RNAcentral. Lineage: Bacteria; Pseudomonadati; Myxococcota; Myxococcia.
UCCCCAGUAGCUCAGCUGGCAGAGCAGGUGACUGUUAAUCACCGUGUCCGCGGUUCAAUCCCGUGCUGGGGAGCCA